UUGAAAGGGAAACGAUUGAAGUCAGUCGUACCAGCGGGAAAUCAACCUUUCGAGUGGGGGUUUUGGAGUUUUGAAGAGUGUCAAAACCUUUGAGGUUUCAAAAUUUUCGCUCUUUUGGUGUACUUUCUCGUGGGUAGGUUAACAUCGAUUUUGAUCAUCAUAAAAAGAUUGGAGGAAUGUAGCUUCGAUCUUGUAUUGAAGUGUUAUAGCCUUUGGUAAAUGUGAUGAUUAGGAUCGAGGAUUGCAACGAAUACCCUUUUGGGCUAUCCGCCUGAUCUCUGAUACGUGGCCUUGGUAUCGAAAGCGUGCUUAUGGUAUUGAGGUAUUACGGUCAAAAGGUUAGAACGGAUUACAUUCGUUAAGGAUGUUGACGUA
Molecule: ribosomal RNA, 375 nt
Filed under: uncultured Glomeromycotina
Lineage: Eukaryota; Fungi; Glomeromycota
Description: LSU rRNA
Source: RNAcentral